Molecule: long non-coding RNA, 482 nt
Filed under: Physcomitrium patens
Lineage: Eukaryota; Viridiplantae; Streptophyta; Bryopsida; Funariales; Funariaceae
Description: long non-coding RNA (PPAT_LNC014400)
Source: RNAcentral
UGGGCGUGAGCAAAGUCAAUACAGAAAUUUGUAAAUAAAGUUGCUUUCCGUUUAGUACCAGGCGAGUAGCUCGAAUGGCAGAGGGGCAGAGCAGAGCGGCGGGGCUCCGUGAAAUCCGGAGACACGCCCUAGUGAUCCACAAAUUUCGGAAUGUUCAAUUGUUGAGAUAUUUUAGAGCACAAUAGUAUGCUACAGUCCAAGAAGCUUUGCAACACUCUAGGAGAUUGCAACAAUUUGCAGGUAGAUUGAACACGAAUUGUAGAUCUGGAUUUUUCGGCACAACCAAUUAAUUUGCGAGGAAGGUAACCAGCAAAGUUAGAGCGUUUUAAGAAUUUUAGUUCCCGAAUCAGCAGAACUCAACGUAGUUAAACACUAAUGCAUUGAGAGACAUGGAGAAACGGAGGGACAUCAGUCAACGGAAAGAAGGCCUCAGUAACGUCCAGAAAGAACCAGUGUAUGGAUUACAAUGUAAGGUCCAAUCG